AUAUCUUUCUCUCUCUCUCUCUCUCUAAACCUUUGAAAAAUGAAAGAAUUGAAGUUUAGAGAGGAAGGGAAGGGGGAGGGAAAUUUAUACAAUUUUAGAACCAUUGGAUUCGCGUCAAGUAGCAAAAUGCAGUGAAGAGAGACGAGAAAAAGAUGUUCGGCACGAAAAAUGAGGGAGGAUUUCCUACUCCACCGGCGGCGGUGGUGCGUUGC
This 212-nucleotide long non-coding RNA is filed under the name Carica papaya (papaya). Its description in RNAcentral is "long non-coding RNA (CPAP_LNC008253)". Lineage: Eukaryota; Viridiplantae; Streptophyta; Magnoliopsida; Brassicales; Caricaceae. The record is from RNAcentral.